Molecule: long non-coding RNA, 1089 nt
Filed under: Struthio camelus australis
Lineage: Eukaryota; Metazoa; Chordata; Aves; Struthioniformes; Struthionidae
Description: lncRNA (ENSSCUG00000004936.1)
Source: RNAcentral
GGGAGUUCGAUGAACUUGGAGGUUGCAAAGGAUGCUGGGAAUCUGGUAAACUCAGGGGCUGCAAAGGACUCUGGGAGUUUGGGCAGUAGCGGCACUGCAAAGGAUGCUGGGAGUUCGGCCAACAUCACUGCUGCAAAGGACUCUGGGAAUCUGGUCAACUCAGGGGCUGCAAAGGAUGCUGGGAGUUUGGUCAACCCUGGGGCUGCAAAGGACUCUGGGAGUUUGGCUAAGAGCAUCACUGCAAAGGAUGCUGGGAGUUUGGUCAACUCAGGGGCUGCAAAGGAUGCUGGGAGCACAGCCAAAAAAGUAGUUGCAAAGGAUGGUGGGAGUUCAGCCAACUCAGGGACUGCAAAGGAUGCUGGGAACUCAGCCAACAUCACUGCCGCAAAGGAUGCUGGGAGUUCGGCCAACUUGGAGGCUGCAAAGGAUGCUGGGAGUCUGGCUAAUAGCAUCACUGCAAAGCAUGCUGGGAGCGUGGCCAAUGGUAUCGCUGCAAAGGACGCUGGGAGUUCGGCCAACUUGGAGGCUGCAAAGGACUCUGGGAUAUUGGCUGUCCUAGAGGAUGCAAAGGAUGCUGGGAGUUCGGUCAGUUCGGGGGCUGCAAAGGAUGCUGGGAGCGCGGCCAACCCGGAGGCUGCAAAGGCCUCUGGGAGUUCGGCUAACGGCAGCGCUGCAAAGGAUGCUGGGAGCGCGGCCAACCCGGAGGCUGCAAAGGCCUCUGGGAGUUCGGCUAACGGCAGCGCUGCAAAGGAUGCUGGGAGUUCGGCCAAGCUAGAGGCUGCAAAGGACUCUGGGAGUUCGGCCAACGCCGGGGGCGCGGGGGCCCCGGGGUGGGGACAGGGACAGGGACAAGAUGAGGGCAGGAUGGGGACAGGGACAGGAUGGGGAUGGGGACAGGGAUGGGGACAGGAUGGGGGUGGGGACAGGGACAGGGACAAGAUGAGGGCAGGAUGGGGACAGGGACAGGAUGGGGAUGGGGACAGGGAUGGGGACAGGAUGGGGGUGGGGACAGGGACAGGGACAAGAUGAGGGCAGGAUGGGGACAGGGACAGGAUGGGGAUGGGGACAGGGAUGGGGACAGGAUGGGGG